GAUGAACGCUGGCGGCGUGCCUAAUACAUGCAAGUCGAGCGAACGGACGAGAAGCUUGCUUCUCUGAUGUUAGCGGCGGACGGGUGAGUAACACGUGGAUAACCUACCUAUAAGACUGGGAUAACUUCGGGAAACCGGAGCUAAUACCGGAUGAUAUUUUGAACCGCAUGGUUCAAAAGUGAAAGACGGUCUUGCUGUCACUUAUAGAUGGAUCCGCGCUGCAUUAGCUAGUUGGUAAGGUAACGGCUUACCAAGGCAACGAUGCAUAGCCGACCUGAGAGGGGGAUCGGCCAACCGGGAACUGGGAACCGGUCCAGACCCCCAGGGGAGGCAGCAGUAGGGAAUUUUCCGAAAGGGGCAAAAGCCUGACGGAGAAACGCCGCGGGGGUGAUGAAGGUCUUGGGAUCGUAAAACCCUUUUAUUAGGAAAAAAAAAAUGUGAAAGAAAUUGUGAACAUUUUGACGGUACCAAUAAAAAAAGCCCCGGCAAACUACGU
This 496-nucleotide ribosomal RNA is filed under the name uncultured bacterium. Its description in RNAcentral is "partial 16S ribosomal RNA". It matches the Rfam family "Bacterial small subunit ribosomal RNA", at positions 28 to 506 of the family's 1533-position model. The record is from RNAcentral.